RNAcentral lists this unclassified non-coding RNA (228 nucleotides) under Hevea brasiliensis (rubber tree). Lineage: Eukaryota; Viridiplantae; Streptophyta; Magnoliopsida; Malpighiales; Euphorbiaceae. The record is from RNAcentral.
GAAUCCAGCUUCUCUACAAGCCUGAUCUAAUUGCCUAACAACUUGAGCUACACCUUCAUCUUGAGUAAUAUUUGGAUGAUCCCACUUCUCCAAAAGAGGACUCACAUCUAUAAGAGGUAUAAACUUGAAAUCCGUAGCCAUGGUGCUUCCAGUUUUCUGUGUUUCUUCUUCUUAGUUCGCUAGAAUAUGCAGUUUGGAAUCUAUUAAUUCUGUCAGUCACUAGCGUUG